This 649-nucleotide non-coding RNA is filed under the name Pongo abelii (Sumatran orangutan). The record is from RNAcentral. Lineage: Eukaryota; Metazoa; Chordata; Mammalia; Primates; Hominidae.
CUUUUGCUGCAUAACACUACCUGGUAAUUUGACAUACCAGGUGGUUAGUAACUACUGACUGCCUCCAGGUUGCAACACAAUUAUUACCCACUUGGGUGAAAAGAGAAGACAGGAAAUAAAUAUUGGAGUCGGCUGGCAACCUGUUUACAAAGCAAUUUACAACAGUUCCUUAUUCUUAAGGGGUUAUUCUAAUGUAAGACCUCAGAGAAACAGUGCAGUGUGACAAAGGAGGAAUUUAUCAAAGGAGACAGAAAAAGCAUCAAGGCAAGCUGUGAAAUGGUGCAGUAGGAACCAAAUAGAGAGCCAAAGGAUCUCUCUGUCACUGCAGGCCCUUAGGUGCCUGACAUGAGAAUCACAGCCUUGGCGAGAAAACAGCCGCUGCAGGGAGUGGUGGCCACAGUACUCUCGGUAUCCCUCCCCUGCGUCCACUUCCCACCACCCCUCGGAGGGGCCAGCACACACGACAGUGACCGGGGCAUGUGGCAAGAGCGUGUGAGAGAAUAUCUACCCUGAGGCAUGAAAACACGGCUUCCGCUCGGCUGUUUCCCAGCUUGGUUUCUUAGAAAUCUAUGUCAUUAUCUUUCUGCUGGGAUUGUCAGACCUGAUUUUGAGAGCAUUUAAAACCUGACCCCUGAUGGAGCCUCUAAAA